Molecule: microRNA, 23 nt
Filed under: Schmidtea mediterranea
Lineage: Eukaryota; Metazoa; Platyhelminthes; Tricladida; Dugesiidae
Description: sme-miR-2161-5p
Source: miRBase by way of RNAcentral
GUAUCUUUUUUAUUACGUACAAA